AAGUCGUAACAAGGUUUCCGUAGGUGAACCUGCGGAAGGAUCAUUACAGUAUAUUGAAUUCACAUUCAUAUACCCACUCUGCGUACCUUAUAACUGUUGCUUCCAUGGGACUUGGCUCUGCCACGUCGGCCUCCGGGCUGGUGAGCUCCCAUGGGAGGAAAACAAUACUCCUUUUUGUCAGUGAAGUCUGUAUGAAUAGUUUAUAAUAAACGUUAAAACUUUCAACAACGGAUCUCUUGGUUCUC
Molecule: unclassified non-coding RNA, 245 nt
Filed under: Cephaliophora tropica
Lineage: Eukaryota; Fungi; Ascomycota; Pezizomycetes; Pezizales; Ascodesmidaceae
Description: partial internal transcribed spacer region
Rfam family: Eukaryotic small subunit ribosomal RNA (bases 1-46)
Source: RNAcentral